CUAGUACUCCCUCCGUCUGGAAAAACUUGUCCAAGGCUUGUUCCUUAAAUGGAUGUAUCUAGCACUAACUUGGUGCUAGAUACAUCAGUUUGAGGGACAAAUUUUUCCGGACGGAGGGAGUACUUA
Molecule: non-coding RNA, 126 nt
Organism: Triticum aestivum (bread wheat)
Lineage: Eukaryota; Viridiplantae; Streptophyta; Magnoliopsida; Poales; Poaceae
Source: Rfam